RNAcentral lists this transfer RNA (75 nucleotides) under Candidatus Saccharimonadota bacterium. Its description in RNAcentral is "tRNA-Gln". It matches the Rfam family "tRNA". Rfam says of the family: Transfer RNA (tRNA) molecules are approximately 80 nucleotides in length. Their secondary structure includes four short double-helical elements and three loops (D, anti-codon, and T loops). Further hydrogen bonds mediate the characteristic L-shaped molecular structure. tRNAs have two regions of fundamental functional importance: the anti-codon, which is responsible for specific mRNA codon recognition, and the 3' end, to which the tRNAs corresponding amino acid is attached (by aminoacyl-tRNA synthetases). tRNAs cope with the degeneracy of the genetic code in two manners: having more than one tRNA (with a specific anti-codon) for a particular amino acid; and 'wobble' base-pairing, i.e. permitting non-standard base-pairing at the 3rd anti-codon position. The record is from RNAcentral. Lineage: Bacteria; Candidatus Saccharimonadota.
UGGCGAGUGGCCAAGUGGUAAGGCGCCUGUUUCUGGCACAGGAGAUCGAAGGUUCGACCCCUUCCUCGCCAGCCA